Molecule: ribosomal RNA, 407 nt
Filed under: uncultured bacterium
Lineage: Bacteria
Description: partial 16S ribosomal RNA
Rfam family: Bacterial small subunit ribosomal RNA
Source: RNAcentral
AUCGAACGCUGGCGGCAGGCCUAACACAUGCAAGUCGAGCGGAGCGGCGGACGGGUGAGUAAUGACUAGGAAUCUGACUGGUCGUGGGGGAUAACGUCCGGAAACGGGCGCUAAUACCGCAUACUAUCAGAUGAGCCUAGGUCGGUUGAGCUAGUUGGUGGGGUAAAGGCCUACCAAGGCGACGAUCCGUAACUGGUCUGAGAGGAUGAUCAGUCACACUGGAACGGAGACACGGUCCAGACGCCUACGGGCGGGAGCGGUGGGGAAUAUUGGACAAUGGGCGAAAGCCUGAUCCAGCCAUGCCGGGUGUGUGAAGAAGGUCUUCGGAUUGUAAAGCACUUUAAGUUGGGAGGCGUUACCAACAGAAUAAGCACCGGCUAACUACGUGCCAGCAGCCGCGGUAAUAC